This 70-nucleotide transfer RNA is filed under the name Enterobacter hormaechei. Its description in RNAcentral is "tRNA-OTHER". It matches the Rfam family "tRNA". From Rfam's summary of the family: Transfer RNA (tRNA) molecules are approximately 80 nucleotides in length. Their secondary structure includes four short double-helical elements and three loops (D, anti-codon, and T loops). Lineage: Bacteria; Pseudomonadati; Pseudomonadota; Gammaproteobacteria; Enterobacterales; Enterobacteriaceae. The record is from RNAcentral.
GCAUCCGUAGCUCAGCUGGAUAGAGUACUCGGCUNNGCGGUCGGAGGUUCGAAUCCUCCCGGAUGCACCA